UGUGAAUAUUAAACAGGACAGUGGUGCUGAGCAUGGCUAAAGCAUCUCUGCAUUCACAGGGAGAGGAGUGGAAGACCUUCUGGUGUGGGCUGGGCAGCAAUUCACUUGAAGGAGAAACAGCCCGGGUGUGGAGAGGCGGCCAUCCUUGGCGGGAUCCUUUCUAAGGAGCCGAGAAAUCAACGUAGAGCUUCCUCUAUCUGAUUCUCUAACAACUGCAGACCUUCCAUGAGUCAAGCUUUGUGUCAAAAGGACAAAUUAAAAGGACCUAUAAAUGGCACCACCCAGCCCAAUGGACAGAUGCCCCAGGCUGCAGAUUCUGUCAGUGCUGUUCUCGAAGAGGCCCAGGCACAUGCUGAAACAUGGAAGGAUAAGAAGCCAGCCCUCGGGAACCACCAGGAGCCAGGAGCACCCCC
RNAcentral lists this long non-coding RNA (413 nucleotides) under Homo sapiens (human). Its description in RNAcentral is "novel transcript". The record is from RNAcentral. Lineage: Eukaryota; Metazoa; Chordata; Mammalia; Primates; Hominidae.